AUCUACUCGCUGCUCGUCAGCCAUUUCGUGUUCGGCUCAAAAUAAGCCCAAGAUCGAAUUCCUCGUCUGAUAAACGAGCCGAACAUGAGAUGAAUUUUUCAUGUUAUUUAAUAAACGGGCAGAACACGAGCUGAGGUCAGCUCGCUCGUGUUCGGCUCAAUAACACCUCGAAUACCUAUAUUUUAUAUUUAUAUAAAUUUAUUUAAUUUAUAUUCAUAUUUAUCUAUAUAUAAAUAAAUAAUUAUAUAUAUAAUAUAUAUUUUUGUUAUUUGAUUUUAAGCAAAAUAAAAAUAUAAAGACGAGCGAUUCAUUUAUAUAUAAAGUUUCAACUAUUAGAUCAAAAUCUAACGGAUAAGAUUUUAUAAAUUUAUUUUUUAUAUAUAUCCAAUAUAAUCCUUUUAACUUAUUGUUCGUUGGCCAGCUCGUAAGCCAGUUCGUGUUCGACUCGUUUAUUAACGAGCUGAACACAAGCUGAAUUUUUCGACUCGAUACUUUAACGAGUCAGCUCGUGUUCGGCUCGUUGACACUUGACACCCCUAAUUUAUAAUGCCUCAUUCCUCCAAAGAAGUUCACCGUGUCACACUUGUAUCAAAUUAUCUGUAAUAAAUUAAUAAUGAAUUGAGUUGGAAUAUUUAUUUGGGCUCUUUUGCUAUCGAAUUUUUAAUCAUUGUAUUGAGUAGGUGGUUAGUUAAAUAGUAUGACCUAAACGGUGAAAUUGAUUAAAGUAUAAAUCUAAUGGUUAAAAAAUCAAUAAAAAAAGAGUCAAAAUACUAUUAAUAGUAUACCAGCUCAACUCAUUAAUAAUAUAUAUAUCUUUUCUUGAGAGAAAAGUACGACAAAAGUAUUUUUUUAUUGAUUUUUUAACCAUUAGAUUUAUACUUUAAUCAAUUGUAUACCAGCUCAACUCAUUAAUAAUAUAUAUAUCUUUUCUUGAGAGAAAAGUACGACAAAAGUAUUUUUUUAUUAAUCAUGAUAGGACGGCUGAACGUUACAUCAGUAAUUUAAUUGGUACAUUCUAAAUUUUUUUUUUAUUCUUAGGAAAGAAAAUAAUUAGGAUAAAUUCUGAACGUAUGUGACACAAUCAAAUCUCACAUCAAUACAAUAUAGAUAUUCAAAUUUAACAUCAACACAUAUUUAUAUCUAAAUUCAUAUCUAAAAAAUAUUAAAAAUAAUAUGAUGCUAACAUAUAUUUUUUUAAAAAAAAAUCCAUCAUUUUCACCUUUAAGAAAAAAAUGGAUGUUAAUAUAUAUUAGGGCAAAAUAAAAUAAUUUUCUAUUAUAUUUUUAUAUUUAUUUUAUUGUAAGUUUUAUGUUAAAAUUAUAUUUAUAUUUGUUAAAAUAUUAAAUUUUAUCAAAUAAAAUAUGGGUAUACGAAGUUUGAACAUGAGUGCGAAUUUUUAAUUGUAUUGAUUAUCUUAUCUAUAGCUAAUUUUAGGUCAUAGUUAUAUAUACAUACUAGCAUAUCGAGUGAGGCUACUAUGCUUCUGGAAGCACGGAGCCUUCCGUGCUUCCAGGUCGUUUUUGAUGUUGCGACUUUCGAAUCAUCGAACGGCUCCGUUAAACUUGAUCUAGAGUAUUUGAAGUAUAUAGAAAAUAAAUUUUGCAAUUUUUCGAUAUCAUUUGCUUAGUGAACUUUAAGGGGCUCAAAAUCAACGGCUGAAAAUAAAAAUCUUAUAAAACGUGAUAAUAUGACAUUAAAAUUUUAGAUCAAAGAUAUUGAUCUUAUUUUAUAUAGUAUAAAGAAUUUUCUAUCAAAAUUUCACGUGAUUUGGAUAUUUCUAUACCGUUAAACUUCCAAACGGCUCACCACGGUCCUUAAAAUUAUUGAUUUUGAGCCCCUUCGAUCACUAGGCAAAUGAUAUCGAAAAAUCAGAAAAUUUAUUUUCUAAGUACUUCAAAUACUCUAGAUCAAGUUUAACGGAACCGAUCGACGAUUCGAAAGUCGCAACAUCGAAAACGACCUGGAAGCACGAAAGACUCCGUGCUUCCAGAAGCAUAGUAGCCUCACUCCUAGUAUAUCUUAUUUUAUCUGAAUAAUAUUCAAAUACAGUUCUAACUUAUAUUUGAAUCUAAACCUAGGAUAAUGAAAAUUUAGCAUACGAUAUAUAUUUACAUUCAAAAAAAAAAUAUAAAUGCAAAUAUAAUUUUGUUAAAAAUUCAGUCAUAUUUGGCUGUUCGUAUAUAUCGGAUGGUACGGAUUAAUUACGCUAAAAAUCAAAAUGAGGGGCUGGAUCAACCUCGUGCCUAUUACUCACGAGAUUAUUGAAAAUUUAUUUCCCUAAUUAUUACCCCUGCGUCACAUCAACGCAAACAAAAAAAAAAGUGCCCAUAAAAAUAGCAUGGAGACCCCUCAACUAUAUGCUGUUCUGCAAUAGUCCCCUCAACUUCAAGUUACAUUUCAUUUAACUUCUAUUUUUUUAUUUAGGUUUUUACAGUUAAUUAAUAAUUAACUUACAAAUUAUAUAAAUUUAUCUGGCUUAUUUAGCUAUUAGUAAUUGAUUAAUCCAGAUUUAUUUACUGUAAAAUAAUUAAAUUAAGUCUCUGCUACGUGGACACAUCAGCACCGUCGGUGCCUCACCAUGGAGAAUCUCCACCGUUAGAUUUUGGGCCCGUUUUCCCAGGGCUUAUAAUAAACGUUAUGGUGGGGCCCACGCGGAAUUGUGUCGUAAAACUAAGAACCAAGAAGAGGCAAAGAUCGCAUAAGCAAGUAAGCAACCACCCCCGUUUCUCCCGAGGCCCAAAUAAUAUAAAAAAAUUAUAUAAAAUAAAAUAAACAUUUUUUUUUUUUUUUUUGAUUUCCUCAAAACUUUUUACUUUUUUUAGACUUAGUUGGCCCCACCACAUGCCUCUCAAGGGCUACUCAUAUAUAUAUAUAUAUAUAUAUAUAUGGGGAGCGGAUGUUAUAGCGGAUGUUAUUAAAUUACCCAUUUACCCUUUUUAGUUUCCACAAUCUUCUUCUCUUAUUAGGCUCACUGGAUUACGAGGAGAUUAAAAAUAUACAGUAAAAUUAUAAAUAUUUAUUUAUAUUUAUAUGUAAUAUUAUAUUAUAUAUAGUUUUUUGCCGUUGGAUAAAGGGAUGCACAGUUAGAAUGAUAGUGGUUCUCUAGGGUUAAGUGGAUGAUUGGUUGAACAGUAUGAUCUGACGAGUAGAAAUGAUCAAAAAGAUAAAUCUAACGGUCGAAAAUUUAUGAGUAUAAAAACUUCUAUACUUACAAGAGUAUAAUAACCGGACUUAUUUUAUAUAUAUAUAUAUAUAUAUAUAUAGAAUUAGACUGGAAUACUAUCAAUAUUACAAAUCUAUUAGUGCUAUUGAUUUUUUAGCCCUUAGAUUGAUAAAUGGAUGGUUAGGAUGAUAUGAGCUUCCUAGGGUUGAGUGAAUCGUUGGUUGAAUAGUAUAGUCUAACUGGUAAAACUAAUCAAAAGGUUAAAUCUAAAGGUGAAAAACUCGAUAGCAUCAAAUUCUUGGUGCUAUCGAUAGUACCCUAGCCGGACUCUCUCUCUCUCUCUCUCUCUCUCUCUCUCUCUCUCUCUCUCUCUCUCUCUAUAUAUAUAUAUAUAUAUAUAUAUAUAUAUAUAUAUAGAAUUAGGCUACUAUACUGUCUAUAGUACCGGAGCUCCGGUACUAUAGUCUUGUUUUCGAUCUCAGGGUGUUCAAAUUAAUGAUCCACACCGUUAAAUAUGAUCUAGGAUAUAUGAAGUUCUUAGAAAUAAAAUUUUAGUUUUUUUCAGCAUCGUUUACUUAAUAAAUAAAUUAUGUCAAAAUGGACGGCGGAAAUUGAAUAAUCUUUAAAUUUUGAGUAUAGAACUUUUAAAUUCAAGAUAAAAAAUAUUAACCUUAAUCUAGAUAGUUUAAAGUAUUUUCUAUCAAAAUUUGAAGAAAUUUAGAUUCUUCUAUACCGUUGAACUCCAAAUUCGUCAUAGUAGCCAUUGAAAGUUGACAAUUUUGAAAUGAUUUGAUCAUAAAGUAAACUAUAUCGAAAAAAUAUAAAAUUUUAUUUCUAAAAACUUUAAAUACCCUAAAUCAGUUUUAACGAUGUAGAUCGUUGAUUUGAACACCCUAAGAUCGAAAACGAGACUAUAGAAGAAUACUUUGAUCAAAUACUAUUCUACCUACCACCACUUGGAUCAAGUACUAUACCACCUACCACCACUUACCACUAUCAUCUCAACCUUAAUUUAGAUAAUUUAAAGUUUUUUCGACAUAAUUUACUUUAUGAUCAAAUCAUUUCAAAAUUGUCAACUUUCAAUGGCUACUAUGAUGAGUUUGGAGUUCAACGGUAUAAAAGAAUUUAAAUUUCUUCAAAUUUUGAUAGAAAAUACUUUAAACUAUCUAGAUUAAGGUUAAUAUUUUUUAUCUUGAAUUUAAAAGUUCUAUACUCAAAAUUUAAAGAUUAUUCAAUUUCCGCCGUCCAUUUUGACAUAAUUUAUUUAUUAAGUAAACGAUGCUGAAAAAAACUAAAAUUUUAUUUCUAAGAACUUCAUAUAUCCUAGAUCAUAUUUAACGGUGUGGAUCAUUAAUUUGAACACCCUGAGAUCGAAAACAAGACUAUAGUACCGGAGCUCCGGUACUAUAGACAGUAUAGUAGCCUAAUUCUAUAUAUAUAUAUAUAUAUAUAUAUAUAUAUAUAUAUAGAGAGAGAGAGAGAGAGAGAGAGAGAGAGAGCAGUUGAGCUAGAUACUCUCAAAAAGCACAUGAGGUGGUGGUGCUUUUGAGUUUUUAACCAUUGAAUGGAGAGAUGUAGGAUUGAGAUGAUGGUGGUAAGUGGUGGUAGAUGAUGGUAGUUGAAUAGUAUUGAUCCAGGAAUAUUUGUAAUUAAGUAGUAGAUCCAAGUGCUAGAAACUUAGAAGCACUAAGGAAUUGUGCUUCUAAAAGUAUUCUAGCUGAAUUCUCUCUCUCUAUACUAUAUAUAGGGCGUGUUUGGUUCGAAGUCGGAGUCGGAAUCGGAAUCGGAAUCAAAAUAAACUGGAAUCGGAAUCGGAAUGACUAAUUACUAUUCUGUUUGGUUCAACACCUGAAUCGGAAUCGGAAUAAAUCAUUCCCAUUAUCAGUGUUUGGUUCAGGUGGAUAUAAAAAACGUAAUCAAUUUAAUAUACUAACAUUAUCUUUAUAAUAUAUUAAUUUAAAUUCAAAUUAAAAAUUAAAUAUUAAAAAUUACAUCAAAAUUUUGAAAUAAUGUCAAAUUUUAAAAUCUAUUUUUUUUUAAAAAAUAAAACUUUGUAGUUGAGUUAGCAUAAUUCAAAAUAUGAAACUAAAUUUUAAUUUAUUCAAAUUCAAACUUAAAAUUACAAUUUAAAUUUUAAUUUGAAUCCAUAAAUUUAAUUUAAGUUUGAAAUAAAAUUUGAAUAAAACUUUAUAUAAAUUAAAAUUUAAUUUAAAUUCAAAUUCAUACGUUAGAUUCGAAAUACUUGAUUAAAUUUUAAUUUUUAAUUUAGGUUUAAAUUAAAAUUUAAAAUUAUAUAUUUAAUUUUUAAAUUUUAACUCAUAUUUUAAUUAAAAAAAUUAAAAAAAUAAAUUUAAUCCGAAUAAAUAUCCAUUCCGUCCGGAUUCAACUUUCAAUCCGGCCUCCUAGGCCGGAUUGAAAAAGAGGUGAUUGAGGGAUUCCCAUUCCACUCGGGAAUCGGAAUCGGAAUGGGACUCCCGCGUACCAAACACCCACAAACGGAUUUACCCAUUUCGAUUCCGAUUCCAGGGUGGAAAAAAAGCGAACCAAACACGCCCAUAGAGUUGAGCUAGAAUACUCUCAAAAGUACGAAGGGAUUGGUGCUUUUGAGUUUUUAACCAUUGGAUGGAGAGAUGUAGGGUUGAGAUGAUGAUGGUAGGUGAUGGUAGGUGGAACAGUAUUUGAUCCAAAGGCUAUUAAUAAUCAAGGAGUAGAUCUAAUGGCUAAAAAGUUAGAAGUAUAUAUAUAUAUAUAUAAUGAACGAGUUAUAAUACUUUAUCACAAACUGGACAAGGAUAUCUUACAUCCUUUGGCCCUAAUUUUGUUUCGCCUAAUAAAAAUUGGGAUGAAUCUUGGUACCAUAUUUGACCAUUCGAGUGUCUCGCAUACGACUAAAUGUUUAUUUUCGGAGAGUGCAUUGCAACCGAUUGAAUAUUUAUUUUUUUAACUAAUGUUGAACAUCAAUAUAAUAACCAAUAUUAUUUUCUGACAGCUUAGAGAACAAUAUUUGUUUCACUUUACUUUAAUAUAAUGUCAGAAUACAAACUCCUGACUUUGAGUUUCAUCAAAUUAAAUUUCUAGUAUUUAAUUUAAAUCCAUAUUUUAGGCAUAUCGAAAAAUUUGGAACUCUGAGAGAAAAUAUUGAAUAUAAAUAUUAAGAUAUGCGAGCAUAGCAUUUAAUUUAAGUUCAUGUAUUGGGCUAUCGAAAAAUUUUAAACUUAAACAUGAGAAAAAAAAAAUAUGAAUAUUAAAAAAUACCAUCUUCCACAACUUAAGCUAUUAAAGAACAACAAAUUUAUACUUUAAUUUAAUAAAUAAUAAUAUUAUACAAAUCGCACAAGUUUGGAGGGCGCAUUAUGUAUGAUUAAAUAUAAAUAUUUGCUUCUAUUAGUGAUGCGUUGCUUGCAUUAAUUAAAUGUUUAUUUUUGUGAAUGAUAAUAUAUUACGUAGAUCGCACUAAUAAUUCGCUUAAUAUAUUUAUUAUUCUAAUAUUUUUUACCUAAUUAUCUUAAACCUUUCUCAAUGCUAAAUGACCCCAAUAUAACUUUAAUGAUGGAAAGAACAUUUUUUUUUCACCAACAUCAUGCCUAUUACCUAAUACCAAAUGUUUGGUUGAAACGCAUUUUGAUGUAACGUUGAAGUCAUUUUGGUACAAAGCCAUAAAUCUUGGGCGCGGAUUUUGGAAUUGAUCUCGUUGCUGAAUUUUAGCGAAAUUAAUCUGUACUGUUUAAUAUCAGACAAUGCAUGUGCAUUAAUUAUGCUAAAAAUCAGCAGUUGGAUAAAUUUCGUGCACAAAAAAUUCUAUGCAUGAAGUUGCAAGAACAUGAAUAUUUUGUAACCUUUCCGUAUUUAGGACUUCCAGUAGUUUGUAAAAAGGAUUAAUCGCACCAAUGGUUUUUAAACUUUUGUGUUUAAGAAAAAUUUAGCUCUCUUUUUUUUUUUUUUUUUUCCUUUUUGCAUCCAAUUGAGUCGCGAAUAAUUUGUAUUUAUUUUAAUUACUUUUAUUAUCAUAUGGCAAGAUUUAAUGCAUAUUAUCAGUUAGAGCUGCUUUCAGUGGUGGGACUUAAUUGAAAUUAAUAAUAAGGGCAAUUGCUUAUAUUGUUUUUGAAAGUUUUCGACUUUCUCAUUUACCUCUUUUAGAAAGUUAAUAUUUAAAAUACCUUAUUUACGUUUCAACCUAUUUCAAAUAUACCACUAGAGUUAAAUUCUGUCAAUGAACUGUUAGUAAUAGUUGUUAUCUUUAUAAAAUUACUAUUUUGUCUUUUCAAAUAUACUUUUCUAUCAUCACUGACUUUUUUUAUUUGCCCUUACGUUAGAGGCACAAAAUGUACUUUGAUUUUUCGUCUUGUCAAAUAUACUCUUCUAUUAUUACCCAUAUUUCUUAUUUGUCCUUAAGUUAAGAACAAAAGAGGCAUUUUGAUUUUUUUAACUCCUGUAAAUAUUUAACUCAUAUUUAACCUAAGUUAACUUAACGGAUGGUAACUAUAGAGCUAUUUUGAAAUAACGGAGAAACAUAUAAGAAGUAUAUUGAAAAAAAAAGAAGUAGAGUUAAAUAAGAUAUUUUCGAAGUUUCGAGAGAUAUACAGGCAAUUCUCCCUUAAAGAUUGCAUGCUCUUAAUUAAUAGUUAUAUAUGACUUAUUGUAUCAUUAAAAAGUAAUGAUUGCAUGCUCUUAAUUAUCUUGUUUCUAAGCUAUAAUUAAUAAUAAUCCUAAAAUAAAUAAGAAGUCACGCUGAUCCAAUCGAGUUAUUCAAAUUCAAAUCUAUUUGAGCCUAAAAUAUGAAACAUUAAUAAAACCCAACAUUCGAAAAAGCUCGAACAAUGGUACAAAACCUAAAUAUCAUGUAACACGAAACCUUAAAAAAACUUGAAAUUCGAACUAUUUAGAUUUAAAUCGAAAUAAUUAAAAAUACGACGUAGCUUGUAUCCACAUUGACCCAAAGUUGAAUGUUGAAACAUAAAAACAAUUGAAUAAAUCUGAAAAUCGAAAUUAUACGAAUUCUUAAAAUGACCUUCAAGCCUUUUUUUUUUCUUUUUUUUUUUUCAAAAAUGAUAGUGGAUAUGACACACACAUUCAUUAUUUCUGUACAUUUAUUCUACUCUAGAAUCUAAUUAUUAUCUUAUCUUAAAAUUAUUGAUAAAUAUACAUGAGCCGAUAUAAAAAAAAAUUUAUAUCCUAAUGUAAAAAAAAGAUAAUGAUAUUAAACAGGUCCAAAAAUUUUGAAAUUUGAAUUAAUGAAAAAAAAAUGUGAAUUGAAUUUUUAAAUUGUCACGGUGGAACCGUAGCAGUUUUUUCCGUCCAACACUCACUAAAUUUCAGUUUAUUACUCCAAAACAAACUCAGUGGCAAUUUAGAUAUUACAGAGAACAGUAAUGGCAAAAGUCAAACCAUUGAUGCGGUUGUACCACCACACAGUGAUGUGAUGAUACGGUCACGGGUUCAAUAAACAAUUGCCUGAACCCGGUGUACCCUUAUAUCUCAUGAACCGCAUUAGUUUUGAUAAUAAUUUUUUAAAAAUUAAAAAUUAUUUAAUGUAAUUUUUGAAGACCCGGUGCAUGAAAGAAUUAGAUUUCAAAAGAUAGGUGCUACAUGUGCACGCUGUUUGGAGCAUACAUUUUACGUUUUUUUAAUUCAAAAAUAAGAAAUUUUUUUUAAAAUUAAUCUAAUAAUUUUAUAUUAAAACUAUGCUAAACUAUUUUUGUCUUGUACUACAAAUAUGAGAACUUUUUAUUAGAUAUUAUUUUUUUAUAUAAAAAUUAAGAUAAACUUUAAUUAUCUUUCGUAUGGUUUAAUAUUUUUUUUGACCAUCCAGUAAUUCGAAAAGUUAUAUUUAAUUAUUUUAUAAUUUUUUUACUGUAUUUUAAGUAUUUAUUUUUUGGUAGAAUAUGAGAUUGAUAUUUUUUGCAAAAUAUAUAAUAAUAUAAUAUGAUUUACUAUAUUAUAAUUUGUACCUUGUCAUCCUAUAGUUUUAGAAAAAAAAUAUCAUUUCGCUACCGUUUUUAACAGUAGUUUCUUUGAUAAUAAAAAUAAAAUUACAAAAUAAUUAAGCGUUAUGUUUUAAAUUAUAUAAUAAUAAAGUAAAAAAAGUAUGAUAAACCGCCUAUAGACAAAUUAAAGUUUACUCUAAAAAUUAAAAUUAAUUUCUUCAUUGCCCUAAUGAAAGGUUGGAAUUUCAAAAAUAUUUUUUAAAGUUGUAAAAUAUUAUUGAUGCCGUUAUAUAUAUAUAAAAUGUUAACGGUUUAUAUUUUGAGUUUGAGGUUUAUAAGAGUACUUGUAAUAUAUUUAUAUAUUAGAGGGGUAUGAAUGAUAGGUUUGCUUAUUUAGUUGGAUAAAAAUAAUGUUAGAUUUUGAAGGAAUAAUUGUAAUAUAUUAAAAUUUUGCAGGGUUAUAUUUGAAAUUGCUUCAAAAAUUAUUAGAAGACGGAAAAAAAAAAUUUUCGAAAAAAAUAUAAUUUUAGAGGGGUGGUGUAUAAGAUGUACGUGUACACGCGGUGCAGGAAAUAUUUCACACACACACACACACUCUCUCUCUCUCUCUCUCUCUCUCUCUCUCUCUCUCUCUCUAUCUCUACACCUGUCCCUCUCACUCCCUCACUCCCUCAAUUUAGCAACAUAACACCCAUAACACCCAUAACACCCACUCCUCUCUCUCUCUCUCUCUCUCUCUCUCUCCUCCUCUUCUCCCACCAUUAAAGCCCAAUUCCACUCCUCCCCCCCUCUCCCCUCCCCCUGCGCCAUGAAAGAGCUCGGGAAGCACCCACAGAGUGGUGGAGUAGUUUCUUCUUCUUCGGAUCUCAAAAGCCUCGUCUUGGUGAUGAGCACGCGGAGGACGAAGCUCUUCCUCUACGGCUUCGCCUUCGCCUUCGCCGCGCUCACCGCGUACAUCGCCAUCUUCAACCCCUCCGGCGGCGGCGGCGCCCCCUCCUCAGCCGGGGCCGGCGCCGCCGCGCCGUGGUUCAACUCCCUCUACUCCUCCGCCGCCGUGCGUACGGCCCCUUACAGGUCUCAGAUAUCGAGCUUCUUCUCCCACAUCUUCCCCAAUUCCACGGGGAAUGGGGGCGAGGUGGGAGGGAAUGGGGGCGAGAGAAGGGGAGGUGGGUCGGACAAAGAUGGGAUUUUGGGGGGUGGGAACGGGGGAAAUGGGGGAAUUGGGUCGAAGGGAGGUGGGGGAAGUGGAGUUCCUGUGAAGAAUCACACGGUUAGUGAUGUGGGUUCUCCGCAGGAUCAGAACGGGGUUUUGAGUGGUAAAGGUGGAAUCUUGGCGAAGGAGAACGACGGCGGAGGCGGAAUUGGGCUCAAGAACUCGACGGGCAAUGGGGCGGCGGCGGCGCCGGCGAAGAAGGCAAAAGAGGGAAUGUUGGAAGUGAAUAAGAACACAGGAAGUGGAGCUUCUGGGAAGAACCAAAUGGUUAAUGGUGUGAGUUCGAGCAAGAAAGACGAAAUUUUGGUGAAUAAGAACGAGAAUGGAGGCGGAAUUGCUUCGAAUGAGGCAGCGGCGCCGAAGAAGAAAAACGAAGCCCUGGAAGGGAAUGGGAAUACGGGGAGUGCGAUUACACCGCAGGGAAAUGGGGCCCCAACGAAGAAUCACAAUGAAAUUGGUGUUGGUUUGGUGAAAAAUGGGGUUUCUACCAAUAAUCAGGCGGAGGAAGCGGUCGGGUCGAAGAAAAAUGGCGCCUUGGAUGGGAAAAACCAAGCAGGAAGUGUAGUGGUUUUGCUCGGAAAUGGAGCUCCGGCCACGGAUACGACUAAAACUGAGGUUUCUAUAAAGAAUCAAUCUAAGGACAAAGUUGGUUCUCAGGGUAAUGGAGAUUCAACUAAGAAUCAGACAACGAUUGUCGUCGGCAGCGGAGUAAAAGGUGGGAAUCAAAAUCAAACAGGGAAAGGAAUUGCUUCAAAUGGUAAUGGAGUUAAUGGUACUAAACAGAAGGCAACAGUUGCUGUUUCUCAAGGAAGCGAACCUGCGGCGAAGAAUCAAUCCGUCGAAACAAUCGCGAGUGUUUCGAAAAUUAGUGCUUCUGAUGGCGGCGGGAAAAGAAUGGAUGAUUGGAUCAAAUCGAUGAUAGGUUGCGACAUAUUUCAGGGGACAUGGGUUAAAGAUGAUUCAUAUCCUCUCUACCCGGAGGGUUCCUGCCCCCACAUCGAUGAGCCGUUCGAUUGCUAUCUCAAUGGACGGCCUGAUCGCGCUUAUCAGAAGCUCCGGUGGCAGCCUAGCGGAUGCACAAUCCCAAGGUGACGAAAAUAAUAAGAAAAGUUUCAAACUUUUUGGUUUAACUCGAUUCAUGUUUAGUGUAAUGCAUAUUAAUUGCUCACCUUCUUUUUAUAGAUUGAAUGCAACUGAUAUGCUAGAGAGAUUGAGGGGAAAAAGGCUAGUUUUUGUGGGCGAUUCGCUCAAUAGGAACAUGUGGGAGUCUCUGGUUUGUGCUCUUCGGCAUUCGAUUAAAGAUAAGAAGAAGGUUUUCGAGGCGUCUGGUCGGCAAGAGUUCCGGACCGAGGGUUCAUAUUCUUUCUUAUUUACGGUUAGUUAACCAUACGUUGUCGAUGGCCGAUACUAUUAGUAUUCUUCAUUGUUCUUGUUAGUGAUUAUGAUCACUGCUUGUUGUUCUAUUUGUGGGUGGUAGGACUACAAUUGCAGUGUGGAGUUCUUUCGAUCCCCUUUCCUUGUUCAGGAAUGGGAGAUGCCGAUAAGCAACGGGAAGACGAAGGAAACUCUUCGGCUCGACAUAAUCGAGAGAUCAUCUCCGAAGUAUAAGGACGCAGAUGUUAUCGUCUUCAAUACCGGGCAUUGGUGGACGCACGAGAAAACUUCCAAAGGGUAAAGCUUCUUCCGCAACAUUGUGUCGCGCUAUCAUAUUUCAUGUAUUUUUAGGAGUUUAUAAUUGAAUUUAAGUCGCGCCAUACAGGAAGGAUUACUAUCAAGAAGGAAACCAUGUAUAUAGUGAGUUGAACGUCGUGGAUGCUUUUCAUAAAGCUCUCAACACUUGGUCCAAAUGGGUCGAUUCCAACGUGAACCCUAAGAAAGCCAUAGUGAUCUUCAGGGGCUACUCCGCGUCCCAUUUCAGGUAGAUUCGCCUUUUUCCUUUAUACCGAUUUCGAGAUCUCAAAUGUUUUCUGCUUUGUUUAGAGCGGAAUUUGAUGCUUGAUUAAUUCUUCGCAACCUCUCGUUCUAAACUUUCGUUCGAUAUGUUUAAAUGUCUAGUGGGGGACAGUGGAAUUCAGGUGGGCAAUGCGACAAAGAAACCGAGCCAAUCAAGAACGAAAAGUAUCUCUCGUCGUACCCACCGAAGAUGAGCAUAUUAGAAGAUGUGAUCAGGGGAAUGAGAACCCCUGUUGUGUAUUUGAACAUUACGAGGAUGACCGACUAUAGAAAAGACGCGCACCCUUCCAUUUACCGCAAGCAAAACCUAACCGAAGAGGAGAGGCGGUCCCCCGAGAGGUACCAGGACUGUAGCCACUGGUGCCUCCCCGGCGUGCCGGAUUCUUGGAACGAGCUACUCUACGCACAGCUUUUGAUUAAACAGCAUCAACUCUUCCACAAAUAAAAAAGCCAUAUACGUAGAUUCGGUGUUUAUACAUUAUUAUUAUUAUUAUGUAGGGGGGAUUCAAUAACCGACAAGUUGAUCAAAGCGAUGUUGUCGCGAUAAAGAGAAUGGAGUUUUCUCGAAGUAGAAAGGUUUCGAGUACUUAGCAUCUCACAUGGGAGGGAAGCAAGAUGGUAAGCUGAGACCUCCCAAUAUCGACACAGAUUCUUUAGAACCCUUUUUAUGCUUUUAGAAUGUAAAGUUGAUGUUAUGUGUUAAUUUAAAAUAGAAAGCAGUAUAUAUAUGAUUCUAAAGCAGUUUGGGUCCUCUUUGAUUGCUUCUCCUUUUCUUCUCUUUGUUGGUUCUUUGAGUAUGUUAUUACUGCAUGUAUGAUUUCGUUAUAUUUUGCUUUAAAGUUUACAUAUGCCACUGUGAGUCAAUGCAAAGUGUAUACAGAUAUUUAACUACUCAUUUUAUGAACCAGUUAUACCUUAUUUUUAUUUGCAUGGUAAUAUGUUCUCUUAGAUCUAUGACUAUAUACAUACCAGUGUUGAUCAAGAUUCUGUGAGUUACUGCUGUGGCUUCUGUGGCUGGUAAGGGUCUCUUUCAGAUCAAUCGAGAUUUCGCGAAUUUAUCAUGGUGGACCUCAUCUAAUUUAUUUCCUUUGUGUGAUCGGCAUAUAUGGUGCAAAUAUUUGUCCAUCGUGUCGGAUUCUGUACAUAUGGUUUUGCACUUUCUCACUUUAGUAUUCUAUGGCAUGUGGUUUAAAGUAUAUCAAGUUAGUACCAUGUGGUUUGACACUUUCUCACUUUAGUACUAUGUGGUUUAAAAACUACAGGGUAAUAACUUGAUACAAAAAUAAAACCACAGACUUGAUACAAAUAUAAAACCACAUAGUACUAAUUUGUUACACUUUAAACCACAGGGUACUAAAGUGAGAAAGUGCAAAACCACAUGAUACUAACUUGAUACACUUUAAACAAUACAGUACUAAAAUAAAAAAGUGCGAAACCACAGGGGGGUUUUGAAGUUUUUCCCAAAAAAAAAUUAGUUUUCAGUCUCACUUGUUCAGGAGAUUCUAAGCAUCAAGAUGGUUACAUCUAGAGAAUGUAUUUUUGUAGUGAAUUUUAAAAUUUCUACAGAAUUGUUGUCUAAGUGUAACGGUGUUUUCAGUGUUUCUUUUGCUUCUGUAGAUCAUUGUACUGUUUUGGAGACCCGUGAUUAGGGGUGGAAACGAGCCGAGCUCGAGCGAGCUUACCUCGGCUCAAAUUCGGCUUGAAAUUAAUUUCGAGCCUAAAUUUAAGCUCAAGCUUGGAUUGAAAUUAAUUCGAGCCGAGCUCGAGCGAGCCUAAUUUCAAGUCGAGCGAGCUCGAGCCCUAAACGAGCCGCUUGAAAUUCUCAACAUUAUACGAUCAAUAGUUUAAUUUGUAUAAAACAUUAUCUAUAAUUUGAUACAAAAAUAUGUCUAAUAGUUCAAAGUACAAAAUAAUUAUAUGAAAUAUAGUAUUAUAAUAUGAAAAAUAAUAAUUUAUGAGUUGAAUAUCUAAUUUUUUCAGCCUCACAUGUUUUUUCUUCCGCCUUCAAUCUCUAUAUUAUUCAUUUUCAUUUAUGCAGUCAAAAAUAAAUAAAUUAUAUAGAUAAAUAUUGGAUUAAACUAUCCAAUCAUAUAUAACUAAAAUUAAAAUUUUAUAUGAAUAAUAAUUUUUUACUUUAAAAAUAUUCUGUAUAUUUUCUCAAGCAUACAAUUAAUAGCAAGGUAGCCAACGGCGAGCAUACGAUAUUACUUGGUAACUUAGAGGGCUUCCGGCUUGGCCACUUAGGGUGAGAGACAGAAAAAAAGAAAGAGAGAAACAUAUUGAAAAUUUAAAGCUCUGUGAAAGAAAGAAUGAAAGAAAGAAUGAAAGGAAAAAUAUAUAAAUUUAGUAAAAUUUUGCCUUUUUAUUUGUCUAUUGGAUUUGUUUUUAUGGGCCAACAACAUUAUUCACUCAGCCUAUAUAUAAUUAAAAUAUAUUAUAUUUAUAUAUUUUUUAAUAUAUAUAUAUAUAUAUAUAGUGGUACAACUACUAUGCUAUCGAAAAUAUAGAGAAUUUGAUAUUUUUGAAUAUUUGACCCUUUGAUUAAAAAUUGUAUGGUUUGGAUGAUUGCAGUCUCUCCUAAGAUUAAAUAAUACUCUUAGGAUUGAGUGGUCCCUACAAGGUAAUAAUAAUAUUAAUCCAAAGAUAAGAAAUGAUUAAAGGGAUUGAUCUAAGAAUCAAAAAAUCGAAAGUACCAGAUCUCUAUACUUUCGAUAGGAUAGUAGCUUUACUAUAUAUAUAUAUAUAUAUAUAUAUAUAUAUAUAUAUAUAUAUAUAUAUAUAUAUAUAUAUAUAUAUAUUCGAGCUUUUCGAGCCUAAUUCGAACGAGCCGAGUAAUACUCAAGCUCGGCUUGAAAUGAAUUUCGAGCCUUUUAUUUUGUUCAAGCUCGGCUCAUUUAAUUUCGAGUCGAGCUCGAGCGAGCCGAAUAUCAAGCCGAACACGAGUCGAACGCGAGCCGGCUCGCUCGUUUGCCAGCCCUAGCCCUACCCGUGAUAGAGACAACUAAGGCAUAAAUUUAUAAUUCAAAUUUUUUUGUCGUGAGCAAAACUGAUAAUGUGUUUGUGUGGGCUAUAGGCAUGUAACGCAUGUUUGAUUUUUUUUUUAAAAAAAAAAAACAAAAAACUGUAAACUUUCGAACUCGAAAAAUUAAAUGUUUUUUUUUAAAAAAAAUCUAAAAAAUUUUAUUUUAGAUUAUUGAACUUAUAUUUAUCGCAAUUGUACAAAAGAACUUGUUCACCAGUUGCUAUUGGGCUAGUUGGGCUGGGCUUGGUGAGUGGACCAUUCAAAGCCCAAUAUAUAUUUGUGGCUCUCUUUGUUGUUGAAUCAUUAACGUAUCGAUGAGCGCAUCUUUUUAUUUAUCAAAGAAAUUAUUACAAAAUAUAAUUAAGAAAUGAGGGAUGUACUAAGAUGUCAUUGACUCUAUAUUGUAUUUAACUUUCAAGUUAUUUUUAGGAAUAAAAAAUGAAGCACAUUAGAGAUGAAAUGCGUUAUUCCGAAUAAAUAAUUUUAUGCUAAUAUUUUGUGAUGGAGUAAGAGGUACCUACUCACUCACGAUUGUUUUAGAUGAUGGUGAUUAUUAUACUCAACAUUCAUGAACGAAUAUAUAAAAAUUACUAAUAAAUUCAACAUCAUUAAACUUAGGUUACGGCAUAGUUUGGGAUUGCACUUUCAAAAAAAUUGCUUUUAUAUUUAAGAAAUAUUAAAAAAGAAAAUUUAAAAGUGCUUCCACUCUUUCCACCUCCAAUAUUAUUUUAAAAUUAUGACAAGGACCAAAGUAAAAGUUGUAAUUUUAAAUUUUGUGGACCUUUAAAAGCUUAAAAAUAAACCACCACAAUGCCAAUGUGGGGGCUAAAAAUACCAACUUUAUAUAUUAUUAGAAGAUUUAGAGAAGAAAAAGGUUAAAUUAUAAAAAACCUUCUUACACUUUAGUCCUAGUCUCAAUUAUCUUCUGUAUUAAAAAUUGCAUCAAUGAUCAUCCUAUACUUUGUUAUUAUCUUAAAUAGACCAAAAAAUUUUAAAAAUUGGUAAAUUAAGUAGUAAAAUUUUAAUAAAAUAAGUUGACGUACCACAUUGUUCUACAUUUUUUUCAACAUAUAUUCAAUUUGCAACUCAAAAAAUAUAUAAAAAUUUAGAUAAAGAAAAUCUCCUAUUUUGCUCAUACUACUAAAUUUAUAGUUUAUUUACUAAUUUAUUCAAUUUAUAUGAUUCUAUUAUAUUACUUAUAGAUAACAAGUUUUAUAGCUAAAUUCAACAAUUAUCUCAAAUAGUUAACCUAUUUGAGAUAAUAACAAAGUGUAGAAAAAUGAUUGAUACACUUUUUUAUACAGGGAUUAAUUGAGAUAAAUGCUAAAGUGCUAUAAUGCUUUUUAUAAUUUAGCCAAAAAAAAACCUAAAACUUCAAAUUUCUUCUCAUUUUGAGCUAUUAAGCACCUGUUAGGCCUUGCAGUUGCGUCCCGUUCGUUACGCGAAAUCGUAAGAGAAGCAUUUUUGAGAAAAGGUCUGCGGUGCGACUAGCGAGCAUAUCAUAUUGUUAAGCCAAAUACGGCCAAAAUUAUAGCGACAACCAGCACCGACAAAAUUUGCACCAGUAACGUUUGACACUGUAAUUUUAUAAAAUAAAAUAAUAAAAAAUAAAAAAAUGUAUUUAAAUUUUUGCGCCUUAUGUAAAACAAAAUCAGUAAUUUUUAAUCACCAUAUUAUCAAAUAAAAUCUAAGUCUGAUUAAAUUUGAUUCACAAAUUACGAUGGAAAAAAAAAGGGAAAAAAAAAAAGAAGAAAGAUCCAACGAAUCUGGUGUCACCGCUGACGGCGCCACUGGAAAAGAAACAUAUGAUACCAGACAGCAGACGAAAAAAAUAAUGCGCUCCUCAGGGUACUGCCUGCUGCGGCCGGCAAUUUGCGGAGCUGCUUCUUGCAGUGCUGCCGUCCCACUCCUCCCCCUCCGAAGCCCUUGUCAGAGACGAAGCAGCAGAAGAAGAAACAGCAGAUCGCUCUCCGUCUCGUCCUCCUCCUCCUCCUCCUCCUCCUCCUCUUCGUCAAUGGCAGCCCGCGACAUCGGGGGAUUCCUCUCGAAGCAGCCCUACCAUCCCCCUUCCUGGGCUUCGCACCUCCGCCCCAUCCCUUCCCACUCCCUCUCCCUCGGACACGUACCCGCCCCCUUCUUUGUUCCCCUUUUCUCGAAUUUAAUUUUGAAUUUUGCAGGUCAAUUUAAGGAUCAAUACAAGUAAUUAGGGUAAAUGGAAGCGAAUCAAUAAUUCAUAAUUUAAUAGGGUGUAAAGUUUUUUUUUUUUUUUUUUUUUUUUGAAAAUCAAACCAUUUCUCAAAUUAAUAUGGAGAGUUUAAUUUGAAAAAUUCUAGGGGCCUUCGAAAUGUUAUUUUGUGGUUUAUAUAAUUAAUAUAUUGUACAUCUAUUCUUUCUACAUUAAAGAAGGAUUUGGGAGGACCAUAGGUGACCCAUGUCCCCCUCCCAAACCCUCCUUUAUUCUCUUUCCCCUCCUUUAUUCUCUCUCUACUCUUCUCUCUCUCUCUCUCUCUCUCUCUCUCUCUCUANUAAUUUGUAUCCAAUACGAAACUAAAUGUUAGGUCUACUGUUAGACUGUUGGAUUUGAGGAAGUGGCAGUAGAAUAGUCCGGUUUCUAGCUAAAAUUAUCGCGAAAGAUCAUCAUCUAUGUUAUCAAAGAGUCAUUUUUAGAUGCCUAGCGCGACAAAAGUUUUGUUCGUUGUACUUGUGAUCAGAAUCUCUUAUUAGUGUUGUUAGCAUUAAGAUUAUACCCUUGUUACGUCGAAUGCCCGAGCUCCUGUAUUAGCAUGAUAUACUACUUCUGCAUGUUUCGUUUAGCUAUCUUCUUACACUCUCUUUGGUCGCUCGUCAGCUUCCGACUCCAAUUCACAAGUGGAACCUUCCUAACCUUCCAGAAGGCACUGAAGUCUGGAUUAAGGUUUAACUCGGAAUUAUUAUAAGCUGCUUGAGGAUGUUCACUUGAUUUCGUGCUUUCUGAACCUGGCAUUCUUUUCGAAAUUCUAGCGUGACGACCUCUCAGGAAUGCAAUUGAGCGGCAAUAAGGUCAGGAAACUCGAAUUCUUGAUGGCUGACGCUGUGGCACAAGGAGCGGACUGCGUCAUCACGGUGGGAGGUAUCCAGAGCAACCACUGUCGUGCAACUGCUGUGGCGGCGAGAUAUCUUAAUCUUGACUGCUAUCUGAUACUACGCACCUCCAAGGUUACAAAAAUUAGAAAUGGCUGAAAGUGCAGAUGCUUAAAGUUGAUAUCUUGAUCAGACAUUUUGAUUGACUAAUUGGUACUCUUACAGGUUCUUGUGGAUAAAGAUCCUGGUUUGGUCGGUAAUCUCCUAGUUGAACGCCUAGUAGGAGCACACAUCGAACUUGUUUCAAAAGAAGAAUAUGCCAAAAUAGGCAGCGUGGUUUGUUCACCUCUGUCAUUCCUUAUCGUACUGGCAUUAAUCAAGUCUCUGGGUUUCAGCUAAUUAUACGUUAAGUUUAGACCGAUGUUUCUAAGUCACAUACGUUAAGUUUUCUUUUUCUUGCUGCUUUAAUUUGAUUUCUUACUUAUCAUCAAAUGAUUCGUUACUCUAUUCUUUGGGCCUAGGCUCUUGCCGACAUGCUGAAAAGGAGACUUGUAAAUGAAGGAAGAAAGCCGUAUGUGAUUCCUGUCGGUGGAUCAAAUUCUCUUGGAACUUGGUAUGUCAAUAAGCAAACAAAAUGAAUAACAAUGCCUCUUCCGAUGUCAUAUUUCAUCAUUAUUUUUUUACUUGUUUCCAUUUCCUAAAAAAUAUGCCGAGAAACUGAAACUUGUGGAGAUACCGAAACAUGCCCUGAACUCAUCUAUUGGCAUUUCUUUUCAAUUUUCUUAGCCCUUUGGCUUCUUCUGAAGUACUCGUUACAAUGGUUGCUAUUUCAGGGGAUACAUUGAGGCAAUGCGGGAGAUUGAGCAACAAACCCGUUUAUCUGGUUUUCAGUUUGAUGACAUUGUAGUUGCAUGCGGCAGGUUAUUUUCUUGCCAAGCAAAUUUUUACAUCUUUUAGAAUGCUUAUUAGUUACUAUCCAUAAUUAUAUGAUCCAUGGCCUAAGAGCUUGUUUUUAUUUCGGAACCAUUCUAAUACUGUUAUAUGCUGGAAAGGAGUUUGCAUUAAAGCUGGCUUCCUUUUAUACACUUAGCUAUCGAGAUUUCAGUGUGUUAGCUUCCUGUCAAAUUUGGAGCUGUCACAGAAAGAGCUUCAAAACAGAUAGGAAGUUAAAUGACUUUGCAUAGCACAUACUACAUUUGCACACAUGAGCUAUUUCUCUUUAUGUUUUAAUUAUCCAUCACUCUCCGUAUCUUGUCAAAUUUUACAAAGUUUAAUGUGGAUAUUGCAACGAAUUCAAGUUUAAGGUUUUCUUUUUGACUUCUUCUUUUGAUUUGUAGUGGUGGAACUAUUGCUGGCCUUUCUCUGGGGUCAAGUUUGAGUAGUUUGAAGGCAAAAGUAUGCAACGACAUUAGAUUAGCAGAUUGUUAUUUCAUAGUUACAUAAUUACCUACUAAUCCUUGGUUUGUAGGAUAGGUUCAUGCAUUUUCUGUCUGUGAUGAUCCUGACUACUUCUACGACUAUGUUCAAGGCCUGAUUGAUGGACUUCAAGCUGGUGUCGAUUCACAUGAUAUAGUCGACAUUGAAAAUGUGAGUGGUACUUAACACAAAGUUUCUUACCUUCCAACAAUUCUAGCUAUACCUUUUUUUCUCUUCACAUGAAUGCCUUCUUCGAAAUUUACUUAACAAAGAAAGAAGAAAACUUCGUUUGUGGUUAAUUUGUGUUGUUUUCCUGGAAGAGAAGUCAUAAGUAUCUUUCUAAGCGACAAUAAUAUGACAUUUUGGCUUGUUUGUGUGGUUACUGAACUUAAAUCCUUUUCCCUUCAGUCGGUUUUGCUCAAUUAAUAGUAAUGUAACAGCCUAGAAGCCAUGUAAUGUACAUCAAGCACUAGCUCUAGCAGUUGUGUUUACUCAUGUAUUGCUUGUAAACAUAUCGUGGUUCUUUUGUAUUCUAUGUGUAUAAAAUGUGAAGUUUGUUUGAAGUAAAUGAAAGAUAUAUUUUUUUAUUAUGCCUAACCACUUUUUGAACUAAAAUUUGCCGUGCUACAAGUAAUUUUUUGGCUUCUAUGAUGAUAUUACUGGCAUUUAAGCUUUGUUCUAUCAAGUUGUGAAAUUUGCACUGUCGUUAAAAUAGGCCAAAGGCUUAGGGUAUGCCAUGAACACAGCGGAGGAGCUUGAAUUUGUUAAAAAGAUAGCAGCUGCAACAGGCAUUGUUCUUGACCCAGUCUACAGGUGCGACAGUUUUCAACUAUUUCUAAUUGAGAUUACAGGAAAUGUUUUUUAUGUUUCCCUUUUCUAAACCUGAGAUGUUAUUUUCAAAUAGCAUUUUACAUGAAGUAACUGGUCAUUUUACGAAAUCUUGGCAAUCUGUUUGCAAGAAUAUAGUCUAUAGGGAGAAGUAAAUAAUUCGCACUGCGAAGGAUCUUUUUCAGAUAACCUGCUGACCUUACACUUCCAAUUGAAAGAUCAUGCGGAAAAAAAUGAACUUUUUCCCAUGUUACAUAUUUGAGACAUGACUUAAAACUUGUUUAUCAAGUCAAGUGAUGCCUUUGAAUUUGGUUUAAGUGCCAAAUUUUUUCUUGCUGAAACGAGUAGCUCUUUAGUAUGUACUUGCCUUUCCUAACGCAGUGGAAAAGCUGCAUACGGUAUGUUGAAGGACAUGGACAACAACCCUGCAAAGUGGAAAGGGCGGCGAGUUCUCUUUGUGCAUACCGGCGGCCUCCUCGGGUUGUACGACAAGACCGAACAGAUGGCAUCUCUCGUCGGCAAUUGGCGUAGGAUGGAAGUUGAUGAGUCCGUUCCACGCAAGGACGGGACGGGGAAGAUGUUCUAAUGCUCUACUUCAUCAACUCUCCUUCAAAGUACUUGCUCAAUUUCCCAAUAGGAGCACAGUUUUUUUCGUUUUCUCUUUUCUUUUCCUUCCCUUUUUUUUUUUUUUUUUUUCUCUCAAGGGAUUGUUGUUAAUUAUUUUGGACAUAACGGGUCGAUAUUUGUAAUAAGAUUGGUAAACCAUGAUGCUAAUAUCAUUCAUGCCAAUGUUUUAAAUUUCUGCAUGCCAAUGUUUCAAAUUUCUGGAAUUCUCAAUAUACUACCAUGCAGAAAACAAACGAGAGGGACAUUUGGCCUUUGAUUUCUCAACAAUGUUACUGGUCUUAUUCCACCUGAGGAAUUGGGUUCUGCUUUGCAGUGAAAAGAUAAGGCAAAACAAAAAGCUGGGCAGCAGUGAAUUUUGUCCAAGUGCUUUUGCACCAAGCAGGUAGUUUUGGAAGAAAAAAGGGGUAAAAUGGCUUUCUGCAGCAUGGAAAACCCACCUGAGGAUUUCAAUACAAAAGCUCUACUAUCUUUUUGAACAGUUCCACUCUAAAACAGUACUUCCGCAGAAAUUUCAUAACAGCACUAUACUACAAGAGCUCCUAAGAAGAGAGAGUACAGGUGAUCAAAACAGAUGCAACAUGUAGCAGACUGACAUUUAUUCAGAAGGCACAACACACAGCAGUAAAGCUGAUGGACUGGCAGGGAAGAGUCUAGCCAUCAGCAAUCACCACUAUUCACACUAACACUCACACAAACAUACACGGAUACACCAUAGCAACACACCAGUGUAAUCCCUAAAAAGCACUCCACAACUAGCAAACUCCACUGGUUUUCUUGCGGUCCACCAGUUUCCGCCAAUACUUUGUGAUAUCCUUCUCCAUCUCCUGAACACUCUUCUUGACCAUCGUGCCGGCUGGCUUUUCCUGCACGCUGACAUUCACGAUCUUCGCUAUCUUAUUCGCGUGAUCCUCGAGCUCAUGCAACACCUUCUGGAUGUCGGCGACCAGCCGCUCUGCGAGGCUGCGGCUGAAGUCCUCCCUGAUCACCACGCGGAGGACGGCCACGCGCUCCGCAUCAGGCGGCAUGGUGUACGCAGGCACGAUCCAGCCGAACCUUCUUAAAUUCUCCGAGAUGUCGAAGACGGUGUACUUGCUGCUGUCCUUGAGAGCGAAAGCAACCAACGGCACGCCGGAUUCCUUCGAGACGAUUUCGAAUUGGCCGGUGUUCUCUAUUCCUUCCCUUAGGACUUUUGCGUUCCCCAUGCAGUUCUCCAUGAUGUCCUUAUACCCCUGUUCAAAUGAGAAUGUAAACAUGAUACUACAGAAGCAAUCACAAAAUAAAGACUUCAGUAGUUGCUUUCUGUACUGAAACAAUCAGAAUAAUCAGAGAGAAAUGUACCUCGAAGCCCAACCGAAUAAACUGAUAGUAUUGUGCAAUUAUCUGACUCGAACCUGCAAGAAUUCGCAAAGGAACAUUCUCAGAAAGCUACUCGUUGCGACGAAUCAAAUAGCCAGUUCGAUAAUUCUUGCCUUUAGAGAAGUUGAGAGUGAAUGUAGGCUGAUCUGCUCCAAGAUAGUUAAUAUGGAAAAUGAGCUCUUCGGGCAGAUCGUCCUUCCUCCUCCAGAUGACCCAACCGACACCUGCGUAGACGAGCCCGUAUUUGUGGCCGCUGACAUUAAUGCUCUUGACUAGGGGAAGUCGGAAAUCCCAUUCCAGCUCCGGAUUCAGGAAAGGUGCUAUGAAUCCUCCACUCGCAGCAUCGACGUGGAUAGGCGUGUCCCACCUGAACCACACGAGAAAACACAAGUCAUUGCUGAAAUCUAACAGCUAACACAACGAAUUGUAACAAAAUGUUACAUAGAAGGGAAUCUCAUCUUCUUUUUUUUCGUAUGUGCUUACCCUGUUUCCUUAUUUUUCGCUGUGAGCAGAUCGUUUAACCGCUUUACAUCCUCAAACUCCCCAUUGAGAGUUGAACCCAAGAUGGCCGCAACACAGAUAGUGUUCUCGUCGACCAAUUCCACAGCCUUCUCAGGGUCCAUUACAUAAUAUCCCUCCCUUAACUUAACCUCCUUUAGUUCGACUUCGAAGUACCUCGCAAAUUUCUCCCAGCAAACCUUGUAAAUAGAGAAAACAAGUUAAAGAAGAAAAAAGUUCAAAUCUGAGCUUAAAAGGUAGAAACUACCUGAACAUUGGCGCCGGUGACAAUGUUAGGUUUGUCGUGAGGCUUUCCCUCGGCCUUUCUUUUGUUCUGCCACUUUCUCUUGAAUGCUAAUCCUGCCAGCAUUAUAGCUUCUGAGGAUCCGACAGUUCCAACGCCUACUGCGGUUUCUUCCUCUCCAAUUGGAGCAUGGAAAAGGUGCGCGAUCAUAUUUACGCAGCGGUUCUGCAGGAAACAGAAAGAACAACAAAUUUGAGCAAUGCUAAUCAUGAACUUGACGCAUCACCUAGUACGAUAGAUAUACGGGUGAUUCUCGAAACAAUCUUUUGCACUCUCCCAUGAAUCCUUAAUCAUCAUGUACAACAAUAGACCACAACAAUCAGUAAACAAUGUUUCAUCUCCGACGACAUACCAGAGAAAAUAGAGAAACAGAUGAGUCUAAUGUUGGGCAUAUAAAUCAACACUUUUUUCUGCAAUUCUCUCCAGCUAAAAAGUAUUUGCACAAUUGAUGUCUUAAAGAGUCGAAAACCUUAUUAAAAAUCAGUAGCAAGCCAUAUAAGGCCUGUUGUAAAAUCUCUGAUUGCUGCCUACAGGCACUCUCUUUCUCUCCAAAAUUAACAAAGACUACUGCCGCCCUUAACAAGUAACGAGAAAUCAGUAAAUGUAGGCCUUCAAAGUUCAGAAAACACAGCUAAGAGAACUCAGUAAACAAUCAUUAUACAAGUUUAGCGCACGCGACAAUCUGAUGCUGAAGAAAUCGAACCAAGAUAACAGAUCAUGUAUUAUGAGCACAAAUUCAACUCCAACAACCUAGAUAAAGAAUGUGAGACUACAUUAUGAAACCACAAAUCUACGAAUUGCGUGUUUUUAACAUUAUUGUAAUAUAACUGAAGUAGGAAAACAUAGCAUAUUGAAACAAUUUUUCACUGUCAGAGAUAAUAACUCCUGAUUCAAUUCUGGUCCAGUUCAUCAAAAAACUAGAUAAUUCAAGUUCCAAAUACACUCUAUAACUAAGAUCAAUUCAAUUCCACCAAGAUUUGAUUCAGUUCCAAACAUUGUGCACAUGGUGGGUCCACACAGAACACAUCAGAAAAGAUCCAACUAAGAUAAGAGAGGCAAUGAAUUCAAAAGAUGUCCAACCGCUUUUGAUUGCAACAGAUAUGACAAGACGCGACACUAACCGACAUAAACACUAAUUAGAGUGGGGGACCAAAAUUUAUUCACAUUCACUGUCAAAAAACACCUGUCGACGAAUUUCCACAUCCUAAAACAAGAGCACUAGUGGAUAUUUGGCAAGCAAUUAUUGUAAGGACUUGGUCCAGCAGGUCAGUUGCUGAUAAACUGCAAUGCAUAGCAUCUCUGCUUUCGAUUUCCAUCACAAUUAAAAGGAAAAAAAAUAAUACUAAAUCUUGUGUUAAGAUUGAUAGUAACAACUGGAUGGAUGGCAGAUCAACAGGGUGGUUCACUUCUAAUGCAGCAGACCAGCUCUGGGGAGUAAUUUAUCCUUGUUGGUUUCUAUUCCCAGAACAUAGAACAGAAUUUAUAGAGCUUUUCGCCAACCAAAUACAGUAGAUGUAGGGGCCGGUUGGCCUAGAAUCUCGAAAAGUAAUUUCUGCAGAAUUAAUUUUGGUUUGGAAAAUUAAUUUUCAUUAAAAAAUGUAGAGUGUUUGACUCAGUAAGUGAUUUUAUAAAACUGUUUCACAAAAUCUUUUUGCUGCUUGCAAAUAAUAAUAAUUUUUGCUGAAUUUUAUUUUAAAAUUUGAAGUCAAAAAUUUAAAUUCGACUUUAAAAAUUUUAAAAAAAAAUUGUAUUUAAAAUCUGAACAAGAAUUUAAAAUUUAAUAUUUAAAUUUAAAAUAUAAAUUUAAGAUUUAAAAUUUAAAAUUUUAAAUCUUAAGAAGCAUUUGCUAGCUACAGUUGAAAGCUAUUAUGGAGACUUCAUGGAAAAAGCUCUAAUGCCUAUGCAAAAGCUGUCGGUGCUUUUUCGAUAAGUUGCACUUAAAAAGAACCCUUUUUUAAGAAUCUCCAGCACAUAAUAAAAAAAUAAUAAUAACAAAAUAACAUUAUUUACCGCUCAUUUCAAAUCUUGUUUUAGUGCGUCUUUCAACUGAGCCGAACUCGGUAUCUAUUGCUAUAAUAUAGCUGAGAAGUAACAAGUGAAGUUACCUGGAGCUCGGUGGUGACGGGGUACUCGUCCAUGUCGACAUAGUUCUUGUUGAUGGAGGCCAUGAUGAGCUUGUCGCACUCCGGCUCCAUCCACGUCGUCACGAACGACGCCAGGUUCAGCCGCGGGUUCCCGUCCAGCAUCAGCUCGUCAUUGAUGAUCUGGUACGCAGCGUCCUUCGGUAUCGCCUCCGCGGGCAUCUUAAACCUUCAUUCAUUUAUUCAUUCAUUCAUUCAUUCAUUCAUUCAUUCAUUCUCAUAAUAUGUUAUCGAAAUAUCUACUGAAAUUUAAGGAAUCAAUCAAUCAGUGGUCACCGCGGGAGUGCGGCGCGGACAUAGCGCGAAGCGAAGGUGUAGUGCACAGCCGUGUCGGCGUCGCGGAUCGCUUGGGAGAGAGCCAUGGAGAGAGAGUUUAUUGCUAUGUUUGGAGAAGGGGAAUUGGGGGGUUAUUUAUACAUUGUAUGAUUGGUUGCUAAGUUUGUGGUGUACAUAUAAUUGUUGCUGUUACGCUCCAUAUUGCUUUCAAAAGAAACAAAGGUGGGGUGGGGCAUAGAGAUUCCUUGUUCUUGAGGGGAAAAGUAAAUGGUAUCACUUUCAUCUGAUUGCUACUCCAGUACUAGAUCUCUGUGAGAAAAUAUCUUGUUCUAGGCAUAUUUUUGAUAUUACUAGAUCUCUGUGAGAAAAUAUCUUGUUCUAGGCAUAUUUUUGAUAUUACUGUGAUGCGGAAAAAUAUUUAUUUUUAUUUUUUCAAAAAAAUUUAAAAAAAUUUAAAGAAAGAAAUUGUAAGUGGGCAACCAAUUGAAUAAAUUAGAGUUCGGAUAAAAUAAAUUUUUGAAUGAAUUAGAGUUCGGAUAAAAAUUAUUUCUUUUGUUGUUUGUUUUUAUAAUUAUGGAACCGAAAAAGUGAAUAAUGCAUCUCAAUAGCUGUUUAUUACACAAAAAAUCGUGUUAGGAACCCCAACAAUCCAGAAGUAGAUUUAAAAAUAGUUUCAUAAUAAAUUUUAGUUUUUUUAAAAAGUUUCUAUAGAGUUUUAUAAGUCUAAUUAUUAGUUAAAUAAAAAUUAUAUAAAAAUAAUUUAAUAGUUAAUUCUAUUUAAAUAAAAAUUAUUAAAAUUGGUAUAUAUGCAACGUAAAUUUAUACAACAACUUAUUUUAUAAAGAUUUAUGUGAAAAAGAUUUGAGAUAAAUCUAUCUAAAUAAUUUUUUUAAAAAAUCAAUAAAUAGAAGGGAAAUUGUUUAAUAAAAUCAAUUAUAUAUAUACACACACAUACUAUAUUUCUAAAAUCUUACUCUUGAAAUUUAAAUUCUGUAUUUUUUUAUACAUCGAUAUUUUACGUGAUUUAAAUUCAUCUAUCAGAUGAUUAGAUUUUAUUACACAAUUUAUUACGUGUAUUAUUAAUAAAAUUAAUUAAUUAUAUUAUGUACAAUUAAUUAUUAAUAAAAUUAAUUAAUUNUAUUUUUUUAUACAUCGAUAUUUUACGUGAUUUAUUAAUAAAAUUAAUUAAUUAUAUUAUGUACAAUUAAUUAUUAAUAUAAUUAAUUAAUUAAUUAUAUAGAGUUUAGAGAUUUUAAAUUUUAAAUUUUCAAGUUUAAAAUUUGGAAAUAAAUAUUAUAAACUAAAAUUUAAAAUUUGAAAUAUAAAAUUUAGAAUUUGAAACUUUGAAAUUUGAAAGUAUCAAAACUUCAAAUUUUGAUAUUCAAAAUUUAAAAUUUUAUAUUAUAAAAUUCUAAAACCCUAUAUAGAGAGAGAGCGAGAAGGGGAGGGUUGGGCACGUGUCACUCCAAGGUCCCAAAACCAUCCUUUACAUCGUACUAGUGAAUUACCGGCGCGAUGCUGCGGAUAUAAAAAUUUUUUAUAAUAAAUUUUAUUUUUUUUAAUAUUUUUAUAUAGUUUUAUAAGUCUAAUUAUUAAUUAAACAAAAAUUAUAUAAAAAUAAUUUAGUAGUUAAAUCUAUUUAAAUAAAAGUCNAGCCGAUCGACGAUUCGAAAAUCGUAACAUCGAAAACGAGCUGGAAGCACGGAAGGCUCCGUGCUUCCGAUAGCAUAGUAGCCUCACUCUAAUAAUAAUAUAAUAAUAUAAUAAUAGAGAAAGAAUAGCCCCUGCACUUACACCUGUAGGUGGAAGGUGGAAGGGCCAAAUCAGUCUCAUAGUCAAAAAUCAAAAUCGGCAAGGGUAAACUUCAAAUACCUCCCGUGGUUUCGUAUUUUCUCACUUUGGUAUCCUACAGUUUAGUAUCCUAUAGUUUAAAAUGUAUCAAGUUAGUACCUUGUAAUUCAAAGUGUAUCGAAUUAGUACCCUGUGGUUUCUCAUUUUCUCACUUUAGUACCCUGUGGUUUAAAGUGUAUCAAAUUAGUAUCCUCUGGUUUCGCACUUUCUCAAUUUCGUACCCUGUGAUUUAAUAUUUCGUUAAAUUAUAUACAAAAAAACCUUCAGAUAUCCUAUCUAGAUUUAUCGAAUAUUUAUUUUAGCACCAUUUAGUUUUAACUUUGUCACUGAUUUAACGAAAAAAAAUAUUCCGAAAUAGAUAACAAAAAGAGAAAAAUAAAACCACAAGAUACUAACUUGAUACGAAAAUAAAAUCACAGAGUACUAACUUGAUACACUUUAAACCACAGGAUACUAAAGUGAAAAAGUACAAAACCACAUGGUACUAAUUUGAUACACUUUAAACCACAUGAUACUAAAGUGAGAAAGUGUGAAACCACGUAGGGGUAUUUGAAGUUUUUCCUAAUUUUUAUGUAUUGUGAAAAAUAAAAAAUAUAUUAUUUUUUAAAAUAGAAAAUAUAUUAUUUAUAAAUUAUUUUAUUAAGUAGGAGAUGAUAGAUUUUAUUGAACACAGUAAACGAUUCAACGCCUUCCAAUUAUUCCGUUGAAUCGGCCAAAUUAUGGUUAUUUGAUCGAAUAAAAUUUUCACAAAAUUAUUUAAUAAAUUAUAAAACUUUGAAGGUUUAUAUUAAAAAAAGUCCUCAAAAUCUAACUCAUCUUAUAAUAAUGAGAAAAAUAGUGCUAUCCAUAUAGAAAAGUUGCAUAAGUCUGCCGUGGAAGUAAUUUUUUAAAGUAAUUUUAUAAAGCUAUUUGGCAAAUUUUCUUAAGUGAUUUUGUAAAAAUUUUAAAUUUUAAUUUAAAAUUUUAAAGUAUUGAAAAUUUUAAAUUUUAUUUAAAUUUAUAAUUUAUAGUUCAAAUUUUUAAAAUUUAGAAUUCAAAUUUUUAAAUUUAAAUCUUUGAAUCAAAAUUAGAAUCAAAUUUUAGAAAGUAUGUUUUGGCUUCCAUUGGGACAUAUAUCUAGAGUCAUGAUUAAAAAAUUAAAAUCUGAUUUUGUAAAAGAGGUUAUGAAAAGCUAUAUUAAAAAAAAAAUCAAAUAGUGGACUAUAUCACCUAAUAAGUGGUUAAGUUGAUGUACAAAUGGUUCAAAUAGUUGACUUCUCACCUAAGCUGAUGUACAAAUAGUUUUUGUUUUAAUUCAUAUAAAUGAUGUUUUAUAAAAGAUUUAAUUCAUGUUUUAAUAUUAAUAACUGAAAUUUUGAAACUUGAAACUUGAUGUAUACACCAUAAAAUUACCGGUGUGUUUGGAUUGACGAAUUUUUGUAUCCAACGAAGCUUAAAGUGUAGUAGUGUUGGAGUUUUAUUAAAAUGCAGUUAUUUUUUUGUUAUUUAUUCCGAUGCAAUCCAUACAUCUAAAAAAUUAAAUUCAUGCAAUUUUUUUGUUUGUUUUGGUAUCUUGAUAUUAGUAUAAUUAAUUUUUUAAGUUUUACAUUUUUUUAUGUAAAUAAAUAGGUCUCGUUACCAUAUAAAUAUAGUGAUAAAUUUAUCUCCACAAAAUUUAACAUAUUAAAUAGUUAAAUUCUCUGUUAUUAUUUGUAAAGGUAAUUCUAUCCGAUUGUUAAGGAGGUAAUUCUAAUCCAAUGUAAAAAAAAAUAGAGUUUAAAUUUUAAUAUUUAAUAAAUUUUUAGAGAAGGUUGACAAAACAGCGCAAUAGAGAUGCUUUAUUGGAAAGUCUGAAUUUCUUGUCAUGUAUAAUAUUUAUCUCUAUCCUAAAUUAUAAUUUUUCUCUCUAAAAUCUAAAAUUUUUAGCUUUUAACAUUAAAAAUUACUUACUCAAUUAUUGAAUGAAAACAAAAUUAUAGUAUAUAACAGCGAAUUUGAGAUUCUCCAACAAAAUAUUGUUGGAAAGGUUUUGGCUAAAGUUUUAUCCCGCUAAGGGCAUGUUUGUUUGGGUGGAAGUGGGUGGAAGUGGAGAGGAGGGAAGUCGUUUUCGUUCUAAACGGUCACUUUCGUUGUUUGGUUUGCCGUAAAAAAGUUAAGGUCGAAACUCGAGUUAACCUCAAAUGGCGUAAUUGACUUUGCCCCAUUGGGGCGAAGUCAAUUACGUUGAAAAGAGGUGAAGAAAAAAUAAUAAAAUAAUAUAAUAGAUAAAGAUAGUUAUAUUUAAAUAUACUUAAUUAUGUUACUAAUUUUUUUAGGCCUUUUUCCAUAAAAAAUCCACUUAUUUUGGGCUUUUGCAAAACCGAGUCACCUUUUUCGCUUUUGCAGAUUCGGUCCGCUUUUUCAGCAAACUGACCAAAAUACCCUUAUUACUUUUUCUCUUUCCUCUUUCUCUCUCCUCUUCGUUUCUGUCGUUCUUUUUUUUUUCUCGCCGAAAAAAAAAAGGCGGACCGUCGCCUUCUUCUUCACCGUCGUCUCCCUCCUCACCAUCCUUCUUCACCGUCGCCCCCCUCCUCACCCUCCUCUCCACCGCCCGCGACCCCCUCCUCCUCUCCUCCGCCGCCGCGGACCCCCAGCCCGAUCCCGUCGCCGCGAGCGGCCGCGGCGAACGGGUUGGGCUGAUAUGCGGAGAAGAAGACUAACGCGAAGAAAAAAAGGGAGGGNNNNNNNNNNNNNNNNNNNNNNNNNGAAGGUUUGCUAAUAUCGAUUUUAUUCCCGCUACGCGCAUGUGUGUUUGGUGGAAGUGGGUGAAGCGGAGAGGAGGGAAGUCGGUUCGUUCUCAAUCCGGUGCCACUUCGUUUGUUUGGUUUGCGCCGCCGUGAGUGAAAGAAGUUGGAAUUCCCUCACAAUUCGAGCUUAACGCUCAUGGCGCAUAACCUUCAGACUUUGGCCGCCACCACAUUGGGCGGGCGAAGCUCGAAUUGACACGUUGAAUUUCUAUCACGAAGUGUGAAGGAGAAGCAAAAUAAUGAAGAGGCACACAAUUUGACAGAGAUAAAGACAUAGUGAGUAAGUUGCAACGAUAUAACUGAGUAAUUAUGUUAUUCUCAAGCCUGUGUUUCAGGGCCUUUUCCAUAAAAAAUGACUCCACUUAUUUUGGAGCUUCUGCAAAACCAGAGUCACCUUUUUCGGCUUUUUGCGGUCGACAGUGCACGCAAUUGGACUCUUACGGCCUCCGAGCCGCCGCCAGGACGGCAUCGCAGCAUCCGUUUUCAGGCAAACUGACACUAAAAUACCCUUUUACUUUUCUCUUUCCUCUUCUCUCUCCUCUUCGUUUCUGUCCUGUCUUUUUUUGUUCUCGAGCUGAAAAAAAAAGGCGGACCGUUAUCAGACCUGGGCGUUCUUCCAUUCACACCGCCCGUCGCAUCGGUCGUCGCCCCAGACGCACUCACCGAUCCUUCCACACUCAACGUCGCUCCGGACGGCGCAUGUACGCCGCUAACGAGAGCGGCAGUAGCCGAGGGUGGUGAUGUAUCAUUUUCCUUUGAUGCAUUAGAGUUCGUGCUUUAUCUGAUAUCUGAUAGUCGGCAUUCAUUCAUAUGAUGCGUCCUCACCCUCCUACUGCUGUUCGCCGAGUUGCAAUGCACCCAUUAGCUCGCCCUGGGAACCCGUCCUCCUCUGGUCCGCCGCCGCGGACCCCCAGCCCGAUCCCGUGCGCCGGCGGCGGCUAUAGCGGCCGCGGCGAACGGGUUGGGCUGAUAUGCGGAGAAGAAGACUAACGCGAAGAAAAAAAGGGAGGGCAAGGCAACACGGACAGGAGGGGGAGGCGGAAGCGCAACCGGCGCGCACCAGCGCCGCGCAUGUUCUUCUUCCAUCGGCGCUGCCCCUCCUCCGCGCCGCAGCAGAGCGCAGAAAGCCGUAGACUGAUUGACAACGCCUCGCUUCUCCCCUCCACGACGCGCCGACGUGUCUGAGAGCGCCGCUCCGCCGCGGACAGGUAAUAGCCCACCCGAUCCCGUCGCUGGCAGCGGAUGCGGCCGCGGCAGACUGGCGAUCGCGACUGUUUUUUUAAUUAAAACACUGCAACAUUCUUUAAACAGAUUAUUUAUACUAGCUUCUCUCCUCUUGUUCACGUUCUCCCUUUAAUUAAACAGUGGCAACAGAGAGAAACAGUGCCAACAGAGGAAAGGCAGUAUAAAAUAUCUCUUAAAUUGGGGCAGUUUAAGAAUAAUUGGGUGCCGUUUUUUUUUUUCUUAGUUGGCAAUGAUAUCCGAACCCCAAUUUUCUCUGUUACACCUAUUUUAUUUUAAUACUACACAUCGUAACAGUAUAGUUUAUACUGCUUCUCCUCUUGUUCAGUGUUCUCCUCUUGUUGCCUGUUUUUUUUCUUUCCUCUUUAAAGAGAACACUAGUGCAACAAGAGUAAUAAACAUGCCAACUAAUGAGUAGAACAGUAUAAAUAUCCUUAAAUGAGUGCAUCUUUUUGUGUUAAUGAUAAAGCAGUUUUUUUUUUUUCCUUGUUGAUUAGCCAAAAUCAUAUUUUCUUCGUUUGUUACGAUAGAUUUCUGUUUUUAUUUUAAACUACAUACCCCCAUCUUUAACAGAUAUUAUCUGUUCCCUCUUGUUGCACAACAAAACUGUUUCUUCCUUCUCUUCUCGUGCUUCUUCUUCUCUUUAAAGAGGAGAAGCUGUUUCUUCUUCUGCCUCUUAAAGAGGAGAAACGAGCACAGAGGAGAAACAGAGUGCAACAGAGGAGAAGCAGUAUAAAUAUCCUCUUAAUGGUGCAUUAUGUUUAAGAUUAAGGUGCGAGUUUUUGCUUAUUGCGACAUUUUUUUUCUCUUGUUACACACUGUUUUUUAUUUUAACCUAACUGGAAUAAAAACUACACAUAUUAAAAACCAGAUAUUUAUGACUGCUUCUUCUCCUCUUGGUUGCACUGUUUCUCCUCUUUAAAGAGGAAAACAGUGCAGACAAAGUAAAGGCAGUAUAAAUAUCCUCUAAAUGAGUGCGUUAAGAUAAAUCGGGUGCAGUUUUUUUUCCUGUUGGCACAAAUUUUUCUCUGUUAAUCUGUUUUUUUUAUUUUAAACUGCACCAUUUGAAGAGAUAUUUAACUUGCUUCUCCUCUUUAAAGAGGGAAACAGUGCAACAAGACGGAGAAACAGAUGCACAAGAGGAGAGGCAGUAUAAAAUAUCUCUUAAAUGGGUGCAUGUUUUUAUAGAUAUGGGCACAGGUUUUUUUCUUGUUGGCACAAGUUUUUACUUUUGUUAGCCCACACUGUUUUUUAUUUUAACUACACAUUUUCAACCGUAUAUUUUAAACUGGGGGUUCUCCUCUUGUUUGGCAACUGGUUCUCGCUCUUUUCUCUCGUCUUUAAAGAGGAGAACAGUGCAACAAGAGGAGAAUCAAGUGCAACAAGAGGAGAAACAGUGUCUAAAUAAUCUCUUAAGGUGCAGUUUUAAAGAUAAAAAAUAAAUUAAUAAGUAACAAGAGGAGUAAUGAUGCAACAAGAGGAAAAACGGUGCAACAAAGGAGAAAUAAGGCAACUUUCCAUUUGAAAGAGUGUAAUUUUAUCUUAGUGCGUUGCAGUUUAUAUCUGAAAAGAGUGCAAUAAGAAGAGAAAACAGUGUAAAUAUCUUUCAAGAGAUGUAAUUUUUAUUAAAAAGUGUAAUUUUUAUUUUAAAGCUGCAGUUACCAUCUUAAAUAGUGCAACUUGUAAUUUUUUUUGUAGUUAACGAUACAAUUUCACACUGUCAUCCUUUUUUUUAUAUAAUUUUUAUUUUAUUUUUUUUCUGUUUUUGUUUUUGUCACGCCUCUCUGUCAUCAGCACGGUGUCGGUGACGUGGCCGGUAAAGACCCCCCACUCUAGGGCUACAUAGGGCCGCAGUGAUCGUCCACGUGUCGGCGUCGGUGUCGGCGAAGAUGCAUCGUCGUCGAGGCGGCAUAGAAGGAGGGAGGAGAGACGGGAAGGCAGGAGAGCGAGAGAAGGCGGCCAUCGUCGAAACUGUGGAGGAGAGUCAGAGAAGAAAAGAAAGAAAAAAUGCAAAAAAAAAAAGUCACAGCCCGGCUUAGGGGGAUCGGCAGGCGAGGAAGGUGGGGGCGCGGCAGCGACGCGCGCUCUGUCUUCGCCGCUCUGUGGGAAGAGAAAGAAAAAAAAGAACUGAGAGAAAAAAAAGAAAAGAAAAAGGUAUAAGGGCACCUCCGCUCCGUCUUCGCCGCUCUCUUGGAAGAAAAAGAAAUAAGAACGAGAGAAAAAAAGAGGAGAGAAAGAGGAACAGAGAAAAAAGUAUAUAGGAUAUUUUGGUCAGUUUGCUGAAAAAGCGGACCGAAUCUGCAAAAGCCAAAAAGAUGGCCCGAUUUUGUAAAAGCCCAAAAUAAGUGGAUUUUUUAUGCAAAUUGGCCAUUUUUUUAUCCAGUUAAUAUAUCUAAAAUAUGAUAAAAAUUGAUUAGUUAAGUUUUAAUAUUUUUUAUUUAGUUUGUUCAUUUAAAAUAUGAUAAAAGUUGAUUAAUUAAAUAUUAAUAUUUUUUUUACUUUAUAAUUUUUAUUAUUUAUUACUAUAAUUUAUGUAUAAGAAAAUUAUUUAGUUGUUUUAAAUUAAUUUUAAUUAUAUAAAAAUAUACUUAUAUUAUUUUUAUUUAUUAAAAUAUUUAUUAUUUAUAUAUAAAUUAUAUUUUUACAUAAUACACUUCCUACCAAAUAAAUAACAGAACUAAUGAAACUUUACUUCCAUAGCUACGAAACAAACAGCGGAAAAGAAGUAGUUUUCACCGAAUUUCACUUCAACUCAAAGUCCACUUCAACCUAAAGUCCAGUUUAAGUGAGGUGUCCGAGGUUUCGUUUUCACACGUGUCGGAAGGAUGAUAACAACAGGUUAUUUAAUAUGAUUAAUAAUUUGUAAAACUAUAUUAUCAUUAAAUUAUUGGUAUAUAUUUUUAUAAAAAUAAAAAAUAUUUUUUAUUUUAUAUUUUAACUGUGCACAACGUACUUUUUUAGCCAGGUGUACGUUUCAGAAACGUCUAACAUAGACGUGGCGGAAAGGUCGUGGGUAAAGCUGGGACGUGGAAAGUUGGAUUCGACAAAUAAGGGCUUAAUUAUUUUUAAAAAAAAUUAUGCAGUUUAUUUUGUAUCUUAAAUAUUUUUUGCAUAAAUAAUUUAAAUAAUAUUCCAAUCCAAGAGGCAAUAGCAAAUGAUUUGACUAGCAUUACAACUUGUCGGUAGAUGAUUUAGUUUUUUUUUGUAGUGUCUAUUAGACGAAUUCGAAAUAUGAAAAAGAAAUGGACUGAGUUUGGAAUAACUUGUUUUGAUAGGGAUGUAUAAUUUUUUUAUUUUUGUUUUUAUUUUCCGUCGUUCUCACCAUCUUUUAACUUUUUCGAAAUAUUUUUGUCUCAACUUUAUAUUGUUGAAUUCAUAUACUCAUAAUUGAAUGAAGUGAAUUAAAUAACAUGCUACAUUUAUCAUAAAAAAAUUAAAUAAUAUUAAUGUUGUAUUUUAACACUUUUUUUAUUUUUAAUGAAAAGUUAUUAUAGUGAUGGGGUCACAAAACCAUUCGACAUUAAGAAUGUUUAAAUUUUUGCAUAAAAUUAUUUUUCAUAAUUCAUAUUAAGUUUUGAUCUUUGAAGGUGUGUUUCAAUGUACUAUCUAAACAUAUCUUUGUUAAAAUUAAAGGAGUCCUAACUAAAUAGCCCAUUUUAAACAGAACAAAAAGUGCAGGAUAUGAUAUUAUUUAAAUUUUUUAUGCCGGGGAAUAUUUAAAACACGAAGUGAACCAUAAAAGUAUUUUUACAAUAUAUACGGAGACAUUGAGGAUCAAGCACAUACGACAUGAAAGGAGGGUAAAUCACAGCCGUUCGUUCGCAACCUGCCUAAGAUACGGCUCAUGUAUUAGUGUACACUCGUUGCACGAGCGUUUAGAAAUAUGCAACAUAUGUAGUAGGAUGUUGUAGAUGAUUAGAGAUGAUUCUAGAAAGAAGAAUCUCUCACGUUGUGGGGCCAUAUUUGUACAAAUGUUUCUCCCUUUAUUUGAUGUUUGAUUUAAUUUAUGCUUUUUUUUUCCUCUUAAAUAUGUUGGAAAAAAUUUUCUGAUCUUUUAAUAUAAUAUUUUUCAAAAAUCAAUUCGAAAAUUUAAUUAUAGUUUAAAAAAAUUUCGAAACGAAAUUAAAUAACAAAUACGGCAAAGAAAAGAUUUAGAUAAGACCUGUGGAUAGAGACGUGCAGAGCACUGUUCUAGAAACGAAAUUGCCCCUCCACGUGCAAGGUUUUCCGGCAAUUACUCCUAGCAAUACAAUGUUGUCACCUCGUCGGCAUGCUUCCAAGGUGGCGCAAGACGAACCCAACCAGCUUCAAAUCCAGCAAAAGAAAACUCGACGAAAAUCCAGAAAGUAGAAAAAACCGAGAGGCUUUAGGUUUGCUCGGGUUAUUAAUUAACUCGUAUGUAUAGAUUGCACGCGCGAGAGUAUUACCAAACAACUAGCUUGAGAAUAAAGCAAUAUAUAAAAAUCACAAACACCAUUUUGGUUUCCAAUGUGGGAUUAAACAUCUCACAUGAAAAUUUUAAGUUGGGCUUUCAAGAGGCCCAUUAAUAAUUAUUGGGUUUUUCAAGUGGUUUUAAUAAAUUUUAAAUCACAAAAUCCAAUAAAAACCCAAUAAAAUAGAAUGAUUAGGAGUUGUCGGCCAAAUUUAAAAUCGAAUCUAUUGAACUAUCAAAAUAUAUUCUUCGUGAUCUUAUUUUAAUGAUUGGCUAUCAACUGCUAGAGCAGUUAGUUAGGUACAUUUAAUACUGAAUAAGUAUCUGAUUCAAAUCCUGCUUUAAUGAGAAAAAAAAAGAAGAAGAUGUGUGCGCGCGUUUUCUAGUUGCAUAAUGUGAAAUAAUAUAAUAUUUAGUAUUUUUUGCAUAGCAUUAGAGAGCUAGUUAGCUAGAGUCUACUCCAGUAAGGUUUGAGUUGAGAAUACAAAUCUCGUAUGAAAUGUAACUGAUCGAUUUAGUGGUCGGUGGUAGUUCGUCCUUUGACACUUUUUUUGGGCCUUGUCUACAUUGUUGUCUUUCGAGUAUCCUCUCUUUUAUUGUAUGGGCUUGAUUCAAUUCGAAUUGUGGGCUCUCUCUUGGGCUGGUGUUAACGACACAAAUCCAAAAUCCAAACCCACUAUUAUUAACACUAGCCAAAUUACUUUUUAUUUUUAAAAAUAUCAGAAAUAGUCGUAAUAAUUUAUUCCAUUGCAGAAAUUAAAUUUAAAACCACUGAGUUUUCUCGAGAGAUAAUAGGUAGCACGUUAUCCGCUUCGUUUAUUUCAUUUCGAAAUAAACUUAGUUGGAAAAUUGAAUUAACUAAGAUUCGAACUUGGGACCUCGGGUACCAACCAACAAGCCCUUUACCACUUGCUCUAGGGAUCGAUCAGUAAUAUGUUUAAAAUAUUAAACUUUAAUACGUAAGAGUGUUAUUUAUGCUCACUGUUGCGAAUGAUAUGAGAUUGAUUACAGGCCCAAUUUACACUGAUUCCAUGCUUCUUUGCUAGGGAUGCAAAUAGAUCCUGGCUGGCGGUGCUUCCGCCCCGAUCCACUUAGAAUAGGGCGGUUAGUAGGGACCCCAAGAAAGAAAACAUAAAAAUCGGUUUUGAAUCCAUUCCAAUCUAUAAAAAAUGGAGUGCAUGUGGGGAAUCCCUUUCUUUGUCUAUUCUAAUGUGCUACCGCUCAUUUCCCUACCCGCUCUGAAUGAAACAGUAAGUGGGGACUAAAAAUAGUAUAAAAAUUAAUCUAUCUCGAAUCCGCUCCGCUUCGCUAAGAAAACAGAAAGGAAGGUUGGGGACCUCUCCGUCUCCCAGAUCCGCCCGUCCAUAACUAGGGAGUCUAAUAUAAGGCCGAGUUGGGUUAGCCCUACCCACAUAAUUCAGAACAGGGUUACGCCUGAAAACAACCCAACCCAACCCAACAUGGGUCUGGAUUCGAACCAAACUGUGUUGACUCAUCUUUUGGCGGUUCAAAGGCAAAGAAGUUUAUUGUAUCACACUUGCAUCACAUCAUCAAUAACAAACCAAUCAUAUUUUUUUAUUCUUUUAAAAAAUAUAAUAAACUAUUUUUUAAUUUUUAUAAUCAUGAUGGAACAAAUAAAUUUAAAAAAUAUUUGAUUGGUUGGGAAUGCCAGGACUGAUGCAUUUCAGAAUUUUUUGUUCAAGGCACAGCGAUACAGCAUGCUUGUCCUUUCUCUUAAUCUUCUAAAUUUGUUUUCUAUUAAAUAAUGCAAAAAAAAAAAAAUUGCUCAAAACAUAUUAGAGAAGAAAUCUAAAUUUUGCUCAAAAUAUAUUAUAAUCGAGAAGAAAUUUAAUGUACACAAAAAAUAUAUUAGAAAAUACUUAUAUUUGUGCCUGCUCCGAAAUAGUCUACAGUUCAAGUAAGCUCUAUGCAUUUAUUGAAAAAAAAAAUCAGAAUAUUUUAGCACUUUGAAUAUUUUUUUUUACAAUAUACUGAUGGAAAUUUCUUUUUUUUACAGAUUUAAAAUACAUGGAGUAAAUCCUAAAACUCUGUUUUUUGAUACGAUUUUGCUUUUACCUCUAAAAUAAAUAGAACUCAAAAGCCUGGUUAGCAUGCAUGUGCUCCAACUUAAAAUGCCUUAUAUAGCCCUUUAAAAUUUUAAAAAUAUCUAAUAUAUUAUUAGUUGACCAUAAUUAGUCAUGUUUAGUUAAGGGUGCGCCAAAAUAUAAAAUUUGAGUCGUGCAUCUCAAUUUGAAUAAAUCUGUGAUGUGACUGCAUCACAAUUAUAAAUUAAUUAGUGUUUUUCAUUCACUAAAAAAAAACAUAAUUUAUAACUUGCCAAACAUCUCUAUUAUAUUUCACAUAUAAAAAAUUAUUUUAUUAUAAAAAAUUUAACUUCUAAAACUAAAUAUAAUAUAUUUUUUAUAUAUUUUAAUUGUGCUAUUAAUACAUCAAAUACUAAUAGCUUCUUCUUCUUCUCCUUCUCUCUCUCUCUCUCUCUCUCUCUCUCUCUCUCUCUCUCUCUCUCUAACGAAACCGAUCGCCGAAUCAGACGUCCCAUCAUCAAAAACAACUUACAAGUACGAAAGCCCCCGUACUUUCGAAAGCAUAGGAGCCUAGCUCAUAUAUAUAUAUAUAUAUAUAUAUAUAUAUAUAUAUAUAUAGAGCAGGGCUGCUGUGCUCUCAGGAGCACGGAGGCCUCUCCGUGCGCCUACGGGGGCGAGUCACCGUUUACGAUUACGGAAUUUUUGAAUCGACGAAUCGCAACAACACGCUCGUUAGACUUGAUCUAGCGAAUUUUGAAGUUCUAAGAAAAUAUAUUUUUGCGCAUUUUUCGAUAUCAUUUACUAGUGGAUCGGAAGGAUUCAAAUCGUAUGAAUUUUAUAAUGGUUAGAUAAUCUGCGUUUUCACAUUUUACGGUUGUAGAACGUAUAUCAAAUCAGUAUGAAAUUUUGAUAGAAAAUUUCUUUAUACUAUCUAGCAAAAGAUCUAUAUUUCUGGAUCGAAAAUUUUUAGUGCUUAUAUACCGACACAUUUAUAUAGGAUUUUUCAUUUUCAAAGCGUUAACAAAUUAUUGAUUUUGAAUCUUUUCGAUUGGCUAGGUAAAUGAUAUCGAGAAAAUCGUAAAUUAUUUUCUACGAACUUUAAGAAUACCUAGCAUCAAGUUUUAACGGAGCGAUCGUGCGAUUCGAAAAUCAUCAUCGAAACGGCUCAGGAGCACGGAGGCCUCCAUGCUCCUGAGAGACAGCAGCCCUGCUCUAUAUAUAUAUAGUAGUAAUAAUAAUAUAUAAAUAUAUAGAUGAGGCCUACUAAUGCUAUCGAACAGCAGGAGCCUGCCGUGUUCCAGCUUCAGGUUUCGAUCGUUGCGACUUCGCAAUCGUCGAUCGGUCUUUAAACUUGAUCAUAGAGUAUUUGAAGUAUCUAGAAAAUAAAUUUAUGAUUUUACUCAUUUUUGCCUAGUGAAGAAGGGCUCAAAAUCACGGCUGAACAAAUAAAAAUCUUACAAAAUGUAAUAUAUAAACAUUUAAAAUUUUUAAAUCAAAGAUAUUGAAUCAUUGUUUUUAUAUAGUGUAAAGAAUUUUUAUCAAAUGUCAGCGUGAUUUGGAUAUUUGCUACACNNNNNNNNNNNNNNNNNNNNNNNNNNNNNNNNNNNNNNNNNNNNNNNNNNNNNNNNNNNNNNNNNNNNNNNNNNNNNNNNNNNNNNNNNNNNNNNNNNNNNNNNNNNNNNNNNNNNNNNNNNNNNNNNNNNNNNNNNNNNNNNNNNNNNNNNNNNNNNNNNNNNNNNNNNNNNNNNNNNNNNNNNNNNNNNNNNNNNNNNNNNNNNNNNNNNNNNNNNNNNNNNNNNNNNNNNNNNNNNNNNNNNNNNNNNNNNNNNNNNNNNNNNNNNNNNNNNNNNNNNNNNNNNNNNNNNNNNNNNNNNNNNNNNNNNNNNNNNNNNNNNNNNNNNNNNNNNNNNNNNNNNNNNNNNNNNNNNNNNNNNNNNNNNNNNNNNNNNNNNNNNNNNNNNNNNNNNNNNNNNNNNNNNNNNNNNNNNNNNNNNNNNNNNNNNNNNNNNNNNNNNNNNNNNNNNNNNNNNNNNNNNNNNNNNNNNNNNNNNNNNNNNNNNNNNNNNNNNNNNNNNNNNNNNNNNNNNNNNNNNNNNNNNNNNNNGUAUUUUAGAAUAACGGUGGAACAUAUGAGAGGCAUUUUAGAAAGAAAAAAAAAAACAGGGGUAGAUCGGAUAUAUCUGAGCGUAUGAGGGGUAUAUAGGCAAUUAUCGCUAUUAAUAUAUAUAUUUAUAUGUGUAUGUAUGUAUGUAUGCAUACAUAUAUAUAGACAUAUAUAUACAGAACUAAGCUACUAUACUAUUAAUAGCACCAAGUCAUUGGUGCUAUUAGGUUUUGGGCUCUUGGAUGAAUGGAUGUGCGGUUAGAAUAAUAGUGGACCUAGGGUUGAAUAGGUGGUUGAUUAGUAUGAUCUAAUGGGUGGAAAUAGUCAAAAGGAUAGAUUUAACGGCGGAAAACUUUGUAGUACCAACUGCUUGGUGCUAUUGUAGCAUAGUAGCCAGGCUCUAUAUAUACAUAUACCUAUAAAUAUAUAUAUAUACACACAUACAUAUAUAUACAUACGUACAUAUAUAUAUAUGCAUAUGCAUAUAUACGUACAUAUAUAUAUAUAUAUGGGAUAAUUGCCUAUAUACUUCUCAAAACUUCGGAAAUAUCUCAUCGACCCUUACUUUUUUUUCUUUUCAAUAUACCCUUUAUAUAUUUCUUUAUUAUUCCAAAAUACCCGUGAGUUAAAUAUCUAUGACAAUUAAAAAAAAUUAAAAUGUUGCUUUUGUCCUUAACUUAAGGGCAAAUAAGAAAUAUUGGUGAUGAUAGAGGGGUAUAUUUGAAAAGACCAAAAAAUAAAAUACUUUUUGUGCCCCUAACUUAAGGCAAAUAAAAAAAGUGGGUGCGGUAGAAGGGUUAUUUGAAAGGACAAAAUAAUAAUUUUAUAGAAAUAAAAGAGUUUAUUAAUAGAUUUUAACUCUAGAAGUAUAUUUGAAAUAGGUUGGAACGUUAAAAGAGUAUUUUCAAUAUUAGCCUUCUAAGAGGGGGAAAUCAGAAAGUUGAAAACUUUUCAAGCGUAUAUAAGCAAUUACCUAUAUAUAUAUAUAUAUAUAUAUAUAUAUAUAGAACUAGGUUAAUAUACUAUUAAUAGUACCAAGUCAUUGGUGCUACCAAGUUUUUGGCCAUUGGAUUAAGAGAUGUGCGAUUAGGAUGAUGUGGGCUCCCUAGGGUUGAGUGGGUGGUUGGUCGAAUAGUAUAAUCUAAUGGAUAAAAAUAAUCAAAUGAUU
RNAcentral lists this long non-coding RNA (41388 nucleotides) under Ananas comosus (pineapple). RNAcentral describes it as "long non-coding RNA (ACOM_LNC010715)". Lineage: Eukaryota; Viridiplantae; Streptophyta; Magnoliopsida; Poales; Bromeliaceae. The record is from RNAcentral.